UUCAGCGGCGGACGGGUGAGUAAUGCCUAGGAAUCUGCCCGAUAGUGGGGGACAACGUUUCGAAAGGAGCGCUAAUACCGCAUACGUCCUACGGGAGAAAGUGGGGGAUCUUCGGACCUCACGCUAUCGGAUGAGCCUAGGUCGGAUUAGCUAGUUGGUGAGGUAAUGGCUCACCAAGGCGACGAUCCGUAACUGGUCUGAGAGGAUGAUCAGUCACACUGGAACUGAGACACGGUCCAGACUCCUACGGGAGGCAGCAGUGGGGAAUAUUGGACAAUGGGCGAAAGCCUGAUCCAGCCAUGCCGCGUGUGUAAAGAAGGUCUUCGGAUUGUAAAGCACUUUAAGUUGGGAGGAAGGGCUGUCGGCUAAUACCCUGCAGUUUUGACGUUACCAACAGAAUAAGCACCGGCUAACUUCGUGCCAGCAGCCGCGGUAAUACGAAGGGUGCAAGCGUUAAUCGGAAUUACUGGGCGUAAAGCGCGCGUAGGUGGUUCAGCAAGUUGGAUGUGAAAGCCCCGGGCUCAACCUGGGAACUGCAUCCAAAACUACUGAGCUAGAGUACGGUAGAGGGUGGUGGAAUUUCCUGUGUAGCGGUGAAAUGCGUAGAUAUAGGAAGGAACACCAGUGGCGAAGGCGACCACCUGGACUGAUACUGACACUGAGGUGCGAAAGCGUGGGGAGCAAACAGGAUUAGAUACCCUGGUAGUCCACGCCGUAAACGAUGUCAACUAGCUGUUGGGUUCCUUGAGAACUUAGUAGCGAAGCUAACGCGAUAAGUUGACCGCCUGGGGAGUACGGCCGCAAGGUUAAAACUCAAAUGAAUUGACGGGGGCCCGCACAAGCGGUGGAGCAUGUGGUUUAAUUCGA
This 867-nucleotide ribosomal RNA is filed under the name uncultured bacterium. RNAcentral's name for it is "bacterial SSU rRNA". It matches the Rfam family "Bacterial small subunit ribosomal RNA", at positions 91 to 954 of the family's 1533-position model. The record is from RNAcentral.